This 582-nucleotide long non-coding RNA is filed under the name Medicago truncatula (barrel medic). RNAcentral's name for it is "long non-coding RNA (MTRU_LNC003672)". The record is from RNAcentral. Lineage: Eukaryota; Viridiplantae; Streptophyta; Magnoliopsida; Fabales; Fabaceae.
UUUAAUUGUAGUUUUGGUCUCCUAUUUUCACCAUUUUGUGAAAUUGGUCUCCCUGUUGUAAAAUUCGAUAGUUUUGGUUUCUCAAUCUAAUAAUUUGUCUAAAACAUGGUGAUAUGACAUGUUACAUGGUGAUAUGACAUGUUUUAAAUGAAGUUUUUAAGGAAAUUUUUUACGAUUUCAUGGAUGUUGAUAUUUUAUCAUCUUUAGAUCGUAUACCACGACAUUUAAAACCUAUCACAUCACCUUUUUUAGUUUUAAAAUAUGAUGGAGGGACCAAAACUGUCGAACUUUAAAAUAUGGGUUCCAAUAAGAUAAAAAUAAAGGGAUCAAAAGUGCAAUUAAGCCUAUUUUAAAUUUAGCAUAGCCUCACAUAAGACAUUAUAUUCUAUGUGUUAAACAUUAUGAAUGUCCUACAUUAAAGAAAAUUAUUUGUGUACACCCUUUAUUCAUUCUACAUCAAGAGAGAUUGAGAUAAAUAGAGUGAUGUGAUAUAUGUGAUAAGUAAGUGAUAAAAUAUAAAUAGAGAGAUAAAAAAUAUGAUUUUUUUUUGCAAAAUUUUAUUCAAAAAUAUGAAUUCUACAU